Molecule: ribosomal RNA, 508 nt
Filed under: uncultured bacterium
Lineage: Bacteria
Description: bacterial SSU rRNA
Rfam family: Bacterial small subunit ribosomal RNA
Source: RNAcentral
UGGGGAAUCUUGGACAAUGGGGGCAACCCUGAUCCAGCCAUGCCGCGUGAGUGAUGAAGGCCUUAGGGUCGUAAAGCUCUUUCGCCUGUGAAGAUAAUGACGGUAGCAGGUAAAGAAACCCCGGCUAACUCCGUGCCAGCAGCCGCGGUAAUACGGAGGGGGUUAGCGUUGUUCGGAAUUACUGGGCGUAAAGCGCACGUAGGCGGAUCGGAAAGUUGGGGGUGAAAUCCCGGGGGCUCAACCCCGGAACUGCCUCCAAAACUAUUGGUCUAGAGUUCGAGAGAGGUGAGUGGAAUUCCAAGUGUAGAGGUGAAAUUCGUAGAUAUUUGGAGGAACACCAGUGGCGAAGGCGGCUCACUGGCUCGAUACUGACGCUGAGGUGCGAAAGUGUGGGGAGCAAACAGGAUUAGAUACCCUGGUAGUCCACACCGUAAAACGAUGAAUGCCAGUCGUCGGGUAGCAUGCUAUUCGGUGACACACCUAACGGAUUAAGCAUUCCGCCUGGGGA